RNAcentral lists this long non-coding RNA (1032 nucleotides) under Equus asinus (donkey). RNAcentral's name for it is "lncRNA (ENSEASG00005035341.1)". Lineage: Eukaryota; Metazoa; Chordata; Mammalia; Perissodactyla; Equidae. The record is from RNAcentral.
GCCUCGUAGGCCACUAGAAAUUCUUUGGCUUUUGCUGUACGUGAGAUCUGAAGUCCCCGAAGGCUUGGCUUCUUAGAGGAGUGACAAGUUCUGAAUUGCGUGUUGCUAGGAGCCCUGUGGCUGCUUGGUGGUGAGGAGGCUGGAGUUGGCCUCGGGGUGAAGCAGAGAGACCAGCUAAGAGGGCGCUGCCCAGAAAUCCUGGUGACAGAUGGUGGGCCCUGUGGGUGAAGCCUGUGUGCCCUUGUUGUCCUGCAGAGGGAACAAGCAGGACGAGGAGGAGAACCAGGUGUCAGCGUGAAGAAAAUGAGAGCGCUGGGGAGAACGAAGGCAGGCUGUUUCCUUCAGGAGCAGCAACUGACCUGGAAGGGAAGGCAACGAGGGAAAGGAAAAGUUCCAUCUCUCCUCCUCCCACUCUUUCCCUGAGUCCCAGGGCCUGAUUGGUUAAGCACCAAGAGAAGUGAUGACAACUCACAAUGUCGUUCAGAACCUAGUAAUCACAUCCCUUCACAGGAUCCGAGCAUGGCCACAACCACGUGGGUUACUCCGUGUUCAGAGCUGAAUACGGUCCACUGGGCGACGGACAGUGAUUGUGGCCUCAAGAUCCAAUCACUCAGAGAGAGGUGCGAGGGAACUCAGCUCCCGGCUUUCUCAGUUGUCCUCUCUUCCUGAAUCCAUCUGUGGUGUCAACCAGUCAUGGAUGCAGGAGACUCUGAAGUUAAGCCCAGCAGCACCACACUGAACAUCCUGAGGAAGAGACCUGAAUACUUAAAGCCCCAAAACCUUGCCUCCAAAAACAUGGUGAGCUUUUUACUCAGUAGGCAACUGGGGAGGCACAGAAGUGAUGUGGAUCUGUCAAGGUGGCUGUGGAUGCUGGCAAGAGCCACACCAGGGUGGAGCUGGCCUUUGCCAAAAAAUCACAUGACUUAGCGGGUUAUGCCUCCCCAGAACUUUUGGGAAACGAAAAAGAUCUAAAAUAAACCCCUCCCUUGUUUCAGCUGUUAAAAGAAAUGCUGUGUCUUCACUCCAUUUGUC